This 390-nucleotide ribosomal RNA is filed under the name uncultured bacterium. Its description in RNAcentral is "bacterial SSU rRNA". It matches the Rfam family "Bacterial small subunit ribosomal RNA", at positions 29 to 444 of the family's 1533-position model. The record is from RNAcentral.
AACGAACGCUGGCGGCAGGCCUAACACAUGCAAGUCGAACGCCCGUAGCAAUACGGGAGUGGCAGACGGGUGAGUAACGCGUGGGAACGUGCCCUUCGGUUCGGAAUAACUCAGGGAAACUUGAGCUAAUACCGGAUACGUCCGUAAGGAGAAAGAUUUAUCGCCGAAGGAUCGGCCCGCGUCGGAUUAGCUAGUUGGUGAGGUAACGGCCCACCAAGGCGACGAUCCGUAGCUGGUCUGAGAGGANGAUCAGCCACACUGGGACUGAGACACGGCCCAGACUCCUACGGGAGGCAGCAGUGGGGAAUCUUGCACAAUGGACGAAAGUCUGAUGCAGCGACGCCGCGUGUGGGAUGACUGCCCUCGGGUUGUAAACCACUUUCAGCAGGG